This is a non-coding RNA of Paramisgurnus dabryanus, 1354 nucleotides long. The record is from RefSeq and is a predicted model, not a curated record. Lineage: Eukaryota; Metazoa; Chordata; Actinopteri; Cypriniformes; Cobitidae.
GCCACCUAUCAGGGAGGGGCUGCCCCUUCUUAAGCAUCGAUUGGCUGCGGUAUGUUAUGUGUCAUGUCCGAUGUUCCGCUUGGUGCGUGUUGAUAAUAGCAACGGGUAAGUGUUUGUUGUGUGUUUACGCUAGCAGCUCGUACUUUCUGUGCUUGGAUUUAAAACACCUCGGUUGUUGCUUUUAGCGUGUCUCUUGCCCUGUGUGUGUGGUGCCCUGGUUGCGCUGUUUAAGUGGAUAUUACGACUGCUCACCCUCAGUUGCCGGCGGCUGAUAAGGCUGUGCUGAACCCAUGCCUGUAGCAGGUUAUGUUUAUCAUACCAUUGGUUGGUAAGUGUUUGUUAUUAAAACAUUUAAACAUUAUUGUAUGUCGUCCAUCGCGGUUUGAUAACAUUAUGCUCGUUUUUAGGAUUCUCCCUUUUUGUUCUCUGUGUCACUUUGUUGUGAUUCCGAGUUUGUGAUCUGGCGUUCGUAUUGUCGUAAAAGCAUCACGGUCUUCUCCACGCAACACAACGAGUACCGUAAACUGUCUGGUUCAGCUGUGUCUUGCCCCCUUUCUUACUAAAUUAGAGCUAUGGCGUCUUCUUGACGCGUAGGGGGACGACUAGUAGCCUCUCUAUUGGGUUUUUGUUUUGUUUUGCUGUAACGCAUUGCGUUUCCUUUUUGUUUACCCUCUCUAGUUUUGUUUAUUUUGAUUUUGUUAUAUUGUUUUUGAUAGGAUUCAAUGGACUAGUUAUUUACUCCUUUUUAUUCUUUAAAGUGUUUUGGUAUUAUACCGUUGUUGUUUACUCUCUGCUCCAGUGAACUGGGUCAUACGUGACCGGUUAAUGGUUUACUUAUUGUACAACCAUUGCAAUUCUGUUAUGACUUGUGUUUGGUCUUGUGAAUUUGUUUUGAUUACGUAAGAUGUCGUUAGUUUAAUUUCAUUUCAUUUGAUAUUUCCUUUUUUUUUCUUUCAGCUAAGGCUGACUGGCAAUAUUUUGUAGUAUUAUUUAAUCCAGUAUUAAUCCAGUUUUCCAUCUGUUGCAGGAGCUGGGGUCCCAACGGGUGGAUGGAACUUUCCGGUGGUGGUUUUCCUUUUGUCAUUGUGUGCUGUUUAACACGAAGUGUGUGAUUUAUUUCAUUUGAGUGCACAGUGGUGUGUGUGUGCGUGCGUGUGUGUCUAUGUGGACCCAAGUCGAGAUUAAGAACCCCUCUAUCCUGUUGGGAACCUCAGCCCUGCUUAAUUUAUUUUUCUUUAACUUUCAGUUUUGUGUGUUUGCAGUGUGGUUGCCGUGAAUUGAAGUAGAGUGAUAACUUAUAUGAUUAACUGCUUAUUUUAAUGAGAUUAAGUAAUAAAACUAUUUUUGUAUUGUA